UACAUAAGAUGUUUGUUUUCG
This 21-nucleotide non-coding RNA is filed under the name Caenorhabditis elegans. The record is from RNAcentral. Lineage: Eukaryota; Metazoa; Nematoda; Chromadorea; Rhabditida; Rhabditidae.